UACGAAGGGGGCGAGCGUUGUUCGGAUUUACUGGGCGUAAAGGGCGCGCAGGCGGCUCAUUUUGUCCGGCGUGAAAGCCCCGGGCUUAACCUGGGAACUGCGUUUGAUACGGAUGGGCUAGAGUUCGGGAGAGGAGAGUGGAAUUCCUAGUGUAGAGGUGAAAUUCGUAGAUAUUGGGAAGAACACCGGUGGCGAAGGCGGCCCGCUGGGCAGAGACUGACGCUGAGGCGCGACAGCGUGGGGAGCAAACAGG
Molecule: ribosomal RNA, 253 nt
Filed under: uncultured bacterium
Lineage: Bacteria
Description: partial 16S ribosomal RNA
Rfam family: Bacterial small subunit ribosomal RNA
Source: RNAcentral